RNAcentral lists this ribosomal RNA (253 nucleotides) under uncultured bacterium. RNAcentral describes it as "partial 16S ribosomal RNA". It matches the Rfam family "Bacterial small subunit ribosomal RNA", at positions 524 to 776 of the family's 1533-position model. The record is from RNAcentral.
UACGAAGGGGGCUAGCGUUUUUCGGAAUCACUGGGCGUAAAGCGCACGCAGGCGGAUCGAUAAGUCGGGGGUGAAAGCCCGGGGCUCAACCUCGGAAUUGCCUUCGAUACUGUCGGUCUCGAGUCCGGGAGAGGUGAGUGGAAUUCCUAGUGUAGAGGUGAAAUUCGUAGAUAUUAGGAAGAACACCAGUGGCGAAGGCGGCUCACUGGCCCGGUACUGACGCCCAGGUGCCAAAGCGUGGGGAGCAAACAGG